GAUGAACGCUGGCGGCGUGCCUAACACAUGCAAGUCGAACGAAGCAUUUGCGACAGAUUUUUUCGGAAUGAAGUUGCUUAUGACUGAGUGGCGGACGGGUGAGUAACGCGUGGGUAACCUGCCUUGUACUGGGGGAUAGCAGCUGGAAACGGCUGGUAAUACCGCAUAAGCGCACAAUGUUGCAUGACAUUGUGUGAAAAACUCCGGUGGUAUAAGAUGGACCCGCGUCGGAUUAGCUAGUUGGUGAGAUAACAGCCCACCAAGGCGACGAUCAGUAGCCGGGCAGGGAGGGUGGGCGGCGACAUUGGGGCUGGGACGCGGCCGAGACUCCUACGGGAGGGGGCAGUGGGGGAUAUUGCAAAAUGGAGGAAGCUCUGAUGCAGCGACGCCGCGUGAGUGAAGAAAUUAUUCGUGAAGUAAAGCUCUAUCAGCAGGGAAGGUAGUGACGGUACCUGACGAAGAAGCUCCGGCUAAAUACGUG
This 481-nucleotide ribosomal RNA is filed under the name uncultured bacterium. RNAcentral's name for it is "partial 16S ribosomal RNA". It matches the Rfam family "Bacterial small subunit ribosomal RNA", at positions 28 to 507 of the family's 1533-position model. The record is from RNAcentral.